This 253-nucleotide ribosomal RNA is filed under the name uncultured bacterium. RNAcentral describes it as "partial 16S ribosomal RNA". It matches the Rfam family "Bacterial small subunit ribosomal RNA", at positions 524 to 776 of the family's 1533-position model. The record is from RNAcentral.
UACGAAGGGGGCUAGCGUUGUUCGGAAUUACUGGGCGUAAAGCGCACGUAGGCGGGUUUGUAAAUAGGGGGUGAAAUCCCAGGGCUCAACCCUGGAACUGCCUUCUAGACUGCAAGCCUGGAGGUCAGGAGAGGCGAGUGGAAUACCGAGUGUAGAGGUGAAAUUCGUAGAUAUUCGGUGGAACACCAGUGGCGAAGGCGACUCGCUGGACUGAUACUGACGCUGAGGUGCGAAAGCGUGGGGAGCAAACAGG